Molecule: ribosomal RNA, 623 nt
Filed under: Staphylococcus aureus
Lineage: Bacteria; Bacillati; Bacillota; Bacilli; Caryophanales; Staphylococcaceae
Description: partial 23S ribosomal RNA
Rfam family: Bacterial large subunit ribosomal RNA
Source: RNAcentral
AGUCAAGAUGAGAAUUCUAAGGUGAGCGAGCGAACUCUCGUUAAGGAACUCGGCAAAAUGACCCCGUAACUUCGGGAGAAGGGGUGCUCUUUAGGGUUAACGCCCAGAAGAGCCGCAGUGAAUAGGCCCAAGCGACUGUUUAUCAAAAACACAGGUCUCUGCUAAACCGUAAGGUGAUGUAUAGGGGCUGACGCCUGCCCGGUGCUGGAAGGUUAAGAGGAGUGGUUAGCUUCUGCGAAGCUACGAAUCGAAGCCCCAGUAAACGGCGGCCGUAACUAUAACGGUCCUAAGGUAGCGAAAUUCCUUGUCGGGUAAGUUCCGACCCGCACGAAAGGCGUAACGAUUUGGGCACUGUCUCAACGAGAGACUCGGUGAAAUCAUAGUACCUGUGAAGAUGCAGGUUACCCGCGACAGGACGGAAAGACCCCGUGGAGCUUUACUGUAGCCUGAUAUUGAAAUUCGGCACAGCUUGUACAGGAUAGGUAGGAGCCUUUGAAACGUGAGCGCUAGCUUACGUGGAGGCGCUGGUGGGAUACUACCCUAGCUGUGUUGGCUUUCUAACCCGCACCACUUAUCGUGGUGGGAGACAGUGUCAGGCGGGCAGUUUGACUGGGGCGGUCGCC